RNAcentral lists this long non-coding RNA (340 nucleotides) under Salmo salar (Atlantic salmon). Its description in RNAcentral is "lncRNA (ENSSSAG00000109018.1)". Lineage: Eukaryota; Metazoa; Chordata; Actinopteri; Salmoniformes; Salmonidae. The record is from RNAcentral.
GUAAUAACAUGGCUAUAUAUAUAUAUAGGGAGUACCAGGUAAUAACAUGGCUAUAUGCAGGGAGUACCAGGUAAUAACAUGGCUAUAUAUAUAGGGAGUACCAGGUAAUAACAUGGCUAUAUACAGGGAGUACCAGGUAAUAACAUGGCUAUAUGCAGGGAGUACCAGGUAAUAACAUGGCUAUAUGCAGGGAGUACCAGGUAAUAACAUGGCUAUAUAUACACUGCUCAAAAAAAUAAAGGGAACACUUAAACAACACAUCCUAGAUCUGAAUGAAAGAAAAAAAUCUUAUUAAAUACUUUUUUCUUUACAUAGUUGAAUGUGCUGACAACAAAAUCAC